UCGUUGUAGCAAUACGAUGGAAAAUUUAGUGGCGAACGGGUGCUUAACACGUGGGCAACCUGCCAGGAAGUGGGGGAUAGCUCGCCGAAAGGCGAAUUAAUACCGCAUGUGAUUAGAGAGGACAUCCUUUCGAAAUUAGAGUCGGGGCAACCUGACGCUUCUUGUGGGGCCCGCGGCCUAUCAGCUAGUUGGUGAGGUAACGGCUCACCAAGGCUUUGACGGGUAGCUGGUCUGAGAGGACGACCAGCCACACUGGGACUGAGACACGGCCCAGACACCUACGGGUGGCAGCAGUCGAGAAUUUUUGACAAUGGGGGAAACCCUGAUCGAGCGACGCCGCGUGGAGGAUGAAGGUCUUCGGAUUGUAAACUCCUGUCAUUGGGGAACAAUGCACAGAUAUUAACUGUAUUUGUGUUGAUAGUACCCGAAGAGGAAGAGACGGCUAACUCUGUGCCAGCAGCCGCGGUAAUACAGAGGUCUCAAGCGUUGUUCGGAUUCAUUGGGCGUAAAGGGUGCGUAGGCGGCGCGGUAAGUCGGGUGUGAAAUCUCGGAGCUUAACUUCGAAACUGCAUUCGAUACUGCCGUGCUUGAGGACUGGAGAGGAGACUGGAAUUCUCGGUGUAGCA
This 626-nucleotide ribosomal RNA is filed under the name uncultured Verrucomicrobiota bacterium. Its description in RNAcentral is "bacterial SSU rRNA". It matches the Rfam family "Bacterial small subunit ribosomal RNA", at positions 71 to 680 of the family's 1533-position model. The record is from RNAcentral. Lineage: Bacteria; Pseudomonadati; Verrucomicrobiota.